This 1827-nucleotide long non-coding RNA is filed under the name Homo sapiens (human). RNAcentral's name for it is "PREDICTED lncRNA (TCONS_00005035)". The record is from RNAcentral. Lineage: Eukaryota; Metazoa; Chordata; Mammalia; Primates; Hominidae.
AAGAGUAAAGUACUUCCGCUUCCUUAGGUGGAGCUGGAAAGGUGGAGGCGGAAGUGACUGAUCAAUUCAGGGGCGUGGGGUUCGUUUAGGUUUUGCCCUGUGUAUGACCUCGUUUGGAGCCAUGAAACCAGGUGGCUUUUCUACAAUAUAAAGAUGGAAAUGGGAAGAAGAUGUUCAUUGCAAAUUAAGGAAGCUCUUCCACGAGUUCACGAAUGGAAAUAACAUCAAGAGUUUUUCAUCUUCUUAGUGUGCAAGUAAUCUCUGCUGGACUUCUCUAUCAAAGUGUUUGAUGCAGCAAAAUAAAUAUCAAGGAGUGCAAUUCCUGGAUUUAUGAUGUCUGAGGAAUAGUCUUAGUGGAUUAUCCCAAACUUGACACAUUUUUUGCAAAAUGCUAUACAAAAAGAAGAUACAUGCGAUUAUGACAAGAUUCUCCACUUGGUGUGACCAGUCUCAUACAACCCAAGGCUGUGUGUCCAAAGGCAACUGUACUGAUCUUGACAAUAAUCAAAAGGUAGCCAGGUGCAUCGGGGAAAGCACUGACAUUGGAGUCAGACAGACUGAAGUUCAUAUCUGAUUCUGCUAUAUGACAACGUGUGGGCUAUGUGGCUAACUUCUCAGAGCUUCAGUUUUCUCAAGGGCAAAAUGAAAAUAAUAGAAAUAAUAGAAUCCACCUCACAGGGCUGUGGUGAGAAUUGGAGAUGAAGCACAUACAGCAUAUUACAUCAACUAAACACAUGCUAAAAAUUAAAGGGGAUGAAAGAUACAUUGGUCCCUGCAGUGGGAAGUUUCCUUGACAAUGCAAUUAUUGAUUCCAGAAGGCUGAACAAAUGUUGACAGAGGAACACACUGUUUGCUUAUGUCUAAUCUUCCCAUCUGACUUAUAUAAAUGUCACAAAUGAAUCUCAGACAUGUGCCCAAUAUCAAAUAUCCAUACGAUGGCCCUGGAAAGAGGCAAUCUACAUUUAUGGCUGAUGAGAAGAUGGAUUUUUAGCUUGAAAGAAACUUAUUACUGGGGAGAGGAAGUAUAAAUGAAUGGAGAGAGCUAUGAAGAGGUUGAGAGAAUACAGCCAAGGCACAUGACAGAAUUGCUCUGUUGAAGUUUUGCAAGGUCAAAUGACUCACUUUGUCUAAUGGAACGGGAACGAACAAUUUUUUUGUGUCACGUUUGAACAGAUACCUUUGAGAAGUUUAUGAUUCUCCAAGUUCUCUUUCUCCUACUGUGGCACCUACUGACAAGAUAAAUGUGUAGAGGUUCCUGAGUCUAGGGGUGAGUCUUGCAUAUCUGAUGAAUCCACCAGUAAAAGUACCACUGCUGAAAUCACGCAAAUAUAUUUUUUUAGACCUUAUCAACCUUGGCAUGGAAUUAGAUGAGCAAAAAGCUGAGUUGAAUUGAUGAAAAGAAUCCCAAGUCAUUAAUUACUAAUGAUGGAGCUUGUAAAGUACAGCAUCACUGGGGAAAGCAACUGACUUUCCUCAUACACAUUAUAUUUUUAUCUGAAUUUCAAUACUGCUUAAAUAUGUACUUCAUUACAGGGCACAACUAAAAUAGAAGGGCACCUGCUAAGUCAGAGCCAUAAAACAGAUCUACAGCCUGCUGGCAUGUGAAAUUUCUCUAAUUUAUAUUUUUUAUGAAACUACCCUCACAUUAUGUGGUUGGCAGCAUAAAUAAUAAAGCAUGUUACUGAAGCAAUUUUACAUUUACUGUAUUAGUAAGUAAAUGCAAUGGCCACUCUUAUUCUCAAAUAAAAACUACCCAGCCUUUUCAUGAAAGAUGUUUGCAAUUUCCAUUGGCCUGUAUAUGCAAUAAAAAGCCAUAACUCAUCAAAA